Cinara cedri is the source of this 596-nucleotide non-coding RNA. NCBI's taxonomy places the organism in Eukaryota, Metazoa, Arthropoda, Insecta, Hemiptera, Aphididae. The record is from the annotation of a GenBank genome assembly.
UUUUUUUUUUUCCAUCAGACCUUAGUAACAAUAUUUGAUUCACUAGAAAUCGGGUGUAAACUCCAAGCGAUGAUAUUAUAAACAUCGACUGUAAAAAUGCCAUUGACAAAACACCCACGGAUAUAUGUUUGUGUAUUAUUUCUUAAAUUUUCGAUAGCUGAUUCUACUGAAAACUACACAUCAAAGCGAAAAAAUAUCGAUAGCAAAUUGAUGAUAAUUAACAGUCUAUAUUACAGUAUGAUGUCGUUUACUUUUGUGCAUCAGAAAAAAAACCGCAGAUACAUGAAACAACAACACACUGUUGUAGACUCUGCAAGUAAAUCUGAAAUUUUUAAUCAUAAGUCGUACACCGAAAUAGCGAUCUUUAUUAAUUGAACCAUGAAAUAUUUGUUUACAAAACAAUUUAUUCGAAUAAUAUUUGAAUUUAAAUCGCAGAUUGUAUGAUACCAAUACAUAAUUCAUGGCAUGAACAAAUAUUUCAUGGGUCAAUCAAUAUUCAAUUUUUAACCUAUGGAAAAAAGUCAACAAACGAAGCAAAUACCUGUUUUUAAUACAUAUAGGUGGUACUCCGUUUCAAUUAUUUUAUACAAUACAUU